GUUUUACGUUCUGACCCAAGGUGCUGAGAAUGCAUACACAUGUUCAAACUGCUAGCAAAUUUGUUCAACUCUGAUUCAAACUAAUUAUGCAAACCCAUGUCAUGAACAUGUUCAUAGUCUAGUUAGUUAUCUCUACUCAAGAAGACUAUUUGAUCAAGGCAUAAGAUUUUGGAACUGUUAAUUAACUGACCUCAGACUUUGCAGACCCCACCAAAAGC
RNAcentral lists this long non-coding RNA (218 nucleotides) under Linum usitatissimum (flax). Its description in RNAcentral is "long non-coding RNA (LUSI_LNC000209)". The record is from RNAcentral. Lineage: Eukaryota; Viridiplantae; Streptophyta; Magnoliopsida; Malpighiales; Linaceae.